AAUCACACGGCCACAGGGUAAUGGGCACAGCAGCACCACAGGGUAAUGGGCACAGAAGCAAUCACACGGCUACAGGAUAAUGGGCACAGAGCAAUCACACAGCCACAGGAUAAUGGGCACAGAGCAAUCACACAGCCACAGGAUAAUGGGCACAGCAGCAAUCACACAGCCACAAGGUAAUGGGCACAGCAGCAAUCACACGGCUACAGGGUAAUGGGCACAGAGCGAUCACACGGCCACAGGAUAAUGGGCACAGAGCAAUCACACAGCCACAGGGUAAUGGGCACAGCAGCAAUCACGCAGCCACAGGGUAACGGGCACAGCAGCAGUCACACAGCCACAGGGUAAUGGGCACAGAGCAAUCACAUAGCCACAGAGCAAUGGGCACAGAAGGAAUCAGACAAGCCCUGCCUUCACUCUUUAUAAACUUGCCUUGGGAACAGGCUUCAAACAUUCUUCUAGCUUUCAGGGAAACGGUCCACCCCACAGCUCCUUCCAGUCAAAAACAAGGUACUCAUGGCCCUAGCUCUGUGGGAGAAACCAGGGAGUAGAUACAGAAAAUACUGUGCUAGAUUAAGCCUUCCUUCAGGGAACUAACGAUUGACACAGACUUACCAUGGAAAACAUCUUGGGAUGUUUAAUCAGACAUGGGUUUAAAUCCUAGUUCAGCCAUUUAAAAAUGAUGUGAUUCUGGCCAGGUUCAGUGGCUAGCACUUGUAAUCCCAGCUACUUGGGGGGCUGAGGCAGGUGGAUCCCUGAGGCCAGGAGUUCAAGACUAGCUGGGGUAACACAGUGAGACUCCCCCUCCAUCUCCGAAAAAAAAAAAGGGAUGUGAUCUUGGUCAGAUUGCUUCUCCAAGCCUUCCUUCUGCAUAUGUGGGGAUAAUACAGACUUCAUGUUAUGCCUUUGGGGAUCAUGUGAUAUAUACCAGUCAAGCCCUUGCUAGUGGGUUGGCACUGCUAUCUCCUGA
This 970-nucleotide long non-coding RNA is filed under the name Homo sapiens (human). RNAcentral's name for it is "HSALNT0235754". The record is from RNAcentral. Lineage: Eukaryota; Metazoa; Chordata; Mammalia; Primates; Hominidae.